This 881-nucleotide ribosomal RNA is filed under the name Polypedates cf. megacephalus CWL-2010. RNAcentral's name for it is "partial 16S ribosomal RNA". It matches the Rfam family "Bacterial large subunit ribosomal RNA", at positions 1240 to 2606 of the family's 2925-position model. Lineage: Eukaryota; Metazoa; Chordata; Amphibia; Anura; Rhacophoridae. The record is from RNAcentral.
UUAAAAAGCGUCAAAGCUUAACCUAAAUCCCUAAAAUACCAUUAACCUUUAUGAACCCCUAAUUUAUAAUGAAUGACUCCAUAUAACUAUGGAAGACACCAUGCUAGGAUUAGUAACAAGAAUUUAUAAUUCUCCAAAAUGCAAACAUAAACCAAUACGGAUAAGCCAUUGGUAAUUACCGAACCUGAACUUACUGCAAUAACACUUACAAGAAAACCCUGCAGUAUUUACUCGUUAACCUAACACCAGCGCAUUUCAGGAAAGAUUAAUAAAAAGAGAAGGAAUUCGGCAAAUGACGACCCCGCCUGUUUACCAAAAACAUCGCCUCUUGACUUGUAAAUAAGAGGUCCAGCCUGCCCAGUGAAUUUUUAACGGCCGCGGUAUCCUAACCGCGCGAAGGUAGCAUAAUCACUUGUUCUUUAAAUGGGGACUCGUAUCAACGGCAUCACGAGGGUUUUACUGUCUCCUCUUUUUGAUCAGUGAAAUUGAUCUUCCCGUGAAGAAGCGGGAAUAUUUAUAUAAGACGAGAAGACCCCAUGGAGCUUUAAACCAAAUAGCAACUUAACCAUAUAUUGCCUAAUAAUUUUAAGCCCGUGCUACAAGGUUUUUGGUUGGGGUGACCGCGGAGUAAAGCAUAUCCUCCACGACGGAAAGACUAUAAUCUUUAUUUAAGAACUACAAUUCUAGAAAUUAGUAUACUAACGUUUACUGACCCGACAAUCGAUCAACGGAACAAGUUACCCUGGGGAUAACAGCGCAAUCUACUUCAAGAGCCCAUAUCGACAAGUAGGCUUACGACCUCGAUGUUGGAUCAGGGUAUCCCAGUGGUGCAGCCGCUACUGAAGGUUCGUUUGUUCAACGAUUAAAACCCUACGUGAUCU